GAACGCACAUUGCGCCCUCUGGUAUUCCGGAGGGCAUGCCUGUCCGAGCGUCAUUGCUGCCCUCAAGCACGGCUUGUGUGUUGGGCCCCGUCCUCCGAUCCCGGGGGACGGGCCCGAAAGGCAGCGGCGGCACCGAGUCCGGUCCUCGAGCGUAUGGGGCUUUGUCACCCGCUCUGUAGGCCCGGCCGGCGCUUGCCGAUCAACCAAAUUUUUUCCAGGUUGACCUCGGAUCAGGUAGGGAUACCCGCUGAACUUAAG
This 258-nucleotide unclassified non-coding RNA is filed under the name uncultured Penicillium. RNAcentral describes it as "sequence contains 5.8S rRNA gene". The stretch from base 1 to 53 matches the Rfam family "5.8S ribosomal RNA", at positions 102 to 154 of the family's 154-position model. Lineage: Eukaryota; Fungi; Ascomycota; Eurotiomycetes; Eurotiales; Aspergillaceae. The record is from RNAcentral.